UCGGGGCGGGUUCGGCUCCGCCGCUCCUCCCCGGGCAGCGCCGGUGCCGCCUCCCUGCGGAGCCCUCGGGGACGGCAGGACAGGGCCAGCCCUGCUCGGAGCCACAUCCCCACCCCUGUAAAGGUGUCACAGCCGGGUGUGGGGUCAGACCCCCGAUCCCGGCCGGGUGUGGGGGUGUCAGACCCCCGAUCCCGGCCGGGUGUGGGGGUGUCAGACCCCCGAUCCCGGCCUCUCUCGCCCCCGCAGCCGCUGUCGGCCCGGGAUGCCCGCGGGAGGAUCCUGGGCUACGCCGUGAGCGCCGAGAGCGCCGCGGGAGCGCUGUGGCCGCUGUGCCUCACCGCGGGCACCGAGUGCUCGGUGCUGGUGCCGCCCGGAGCCCGCAGCCUCCUCGUCACCGCCCGCAACGCCAAGGGCGCCUCCAGCCCCGCCAGCAUCCCCCUGAACUGGGCGGCAGCGCCGCAAGAGUUCCCGGCCCCGGAGGCGCUGGAGGUGCAGCAGGAGCAGCAGAGCAGGGUCCUGGUGCGGUGGCAGCGCCCCCAGCCCAGCCAGAGCCCCCUGCUCUGGUUCAUCCUGGAGUGGCUGUCGGGCCCCCAGCACGGCCUGCAGGAGCAGCACAGCUGGGAGAGAAUCCCAAAACACCAAACUCACACCUACAUCCCAGGUAGGACAGCCAGGAACCCCCUGCUGCUGGGCACUGCUCCUCAGGACCGCAGAAAUCCAAAUCAGACUGUAAAGCUGGAUUAGAUUAUAACUCCAAAUCAGACUGUAAAUCUGGAUUAGAUUAUAAAUCUGAAUUAGAUUAUAACUCCAAAUCAGACUGUAAAUCUGAAUUAGAUUACAAAUCCAAAUCAGACUAUAAAUCUCAAUUAGAUUAUAACUCCAAAUCAGACUGUCAAUCAGGAUUAGAUUAGAAAUCCAAAUCAGACUAUAAAUCCAAAUUAGAUUAUAAAUCCAAAUCAAACUAUCAAUCUGAAUUCCAUUAUAAAUUUGAAUUAGAUUAUAAAUCUGAAUCAGACUAUCAAUCAGGAUUCAAUUAUAAAUCCAAACCAGACUAUCAAGGAAGAUUCAUUUGAGUUGGAGCCCCUGCCCACUUUCUGGGGGGGACUGGGGCCAUGAAGAGCCCUUAGGGAAGGAGGGGAGGGAAGCAGGUGGAGAUUUGAGGGCAGGCAGUGGGAUUUGGGUCUCUGGGUGAAGAUCACAGGGGAAGGAGGGGAUGGGGAGGGAAAGAAAAUGAAUUAAAUGUAUUAAUAAUUUAAUGAAUUAAAAAUGAGCUGGUGGGCCAGGAACGACCCCAGACCUUCAAGGGCCAACCCAGCUGCUGUCAGCACUCUGUACCCAGCCCCUGGCCCAGCCCAGCUGACAAAACCCCAUUUUGAAGGUAAAUCUGUGCUUUGCCGGCAGGGACAGCGGCUCCCCGGCAGGUGUGGCUGUACGCGGUGUAUCCCGGCGGGAUCAGCGCUCCCCGCUCCAGCCCAGGUGAGCCUCACUGCCCAGGAUGGGGGGAAAUUGCUGCUGCUGCUCCCCUUGGGGACCCCUCGGGCUGGGAACAGAGCACACCCUCCCACCCAGCACGGCAAGGAAAGGAUAAAAUGCAUUUAAUCAAUGUAUUGGUGUCAGACCCACCUCCAGCAGGUCUUUGCUCCCUGCACAGAGCCAGAACAGCCCAGAACCUCAUUUCCCAUCAGCAGAGGCACCUGUGGGAUCAUUGUCCCUUUCCAGUGCAGAAAAGCGAGGUUGUACCUGCAGAACUCACAAUAAGAUGUUGCAGAUAAACCAAAACACAGCAAAGAGCUUUUCCAGGGAGCAGCUGGGCAGAGCCAGCCUGCCCUUCCUAGCUGGAGUGGGAGGCACAGAGCCCUGGGAGGGACAUCUGCAGCUGGGUCAGUGUUGGGGAGGGUUUGGGGAAGGAAAACCUCAUUUGCAGCACUGGGGGUGGCUUUGGGUGCCCUCAGAGCUGGGCAGGAGGGUGAGGCCAAGCUGUGACACCAGAGCAGGGUCUGAGUGCCAGAACCAGCCCAGCACCAGCCCAGCACCAGCCCAGGCUGAGGGCCAGGGCUGGGUUUAAAUAGAGCCUGCCCAGGGGCCAGGUGGGGCUGGGCAGGACCAUCAAGGGCUGUCAGAGCCCAAAGUACCUGCAGGUGACACCUGAGAGUGUCCCCAGCUCCUGGCUCUGAUGCCACCUGAGAUGGGCCCUCUGUGGCUGCUCAGGGGUUUCUCCUGGGCCAGAGCAGCCCCGUGGCCCUGCAGCCGCCCCUGGAGCAGGGCAGCUGUUCCCAGGAAAUGCAAGCAGACAUUCCUGGCCCAGGAAAUGCAAGCAGACAUUCCUAGAUGGGUGUCCCAAGUUGGCCCUGGCUGUGGGUACUCAGGGCAGGGCUCUCCUCUGUGGCACCAAAUCAGGGACAAGGGAUCCCAAGGGAAUUGCUGAACUGGCCAGGAUCAGAGGGAAUUGCUGAACUGGCCUGGAUCAAAGCUGGCUGCUUAUCUCAGCAGAAAGAGGCUUCUUGCCAUGGCAGGGCCUCCAGCUGCAGAUCUUCCCCCACUGCAUGGAAAUAAUCAGGGAAUCCAUUCCCAAAGGGUGCAGGCACUUUGGGAAUCACAGAAUCCCACAAUGGGCUGGGUUGGGAGGGACUCAAAGCCCACCCAGUGCCACCCCUGCCAUGGCAGGGACACCUCCCACUGUCCCAGGGUGCUCCAGCCUGGCCUGGGACACUCCAGGGAUCCACAACUUCUCUGGAAAAGCUGUUAAAUAACCUGGGAGUGCUUGUGAAAAAUUAUAGAGCUCACCAGGGGGAAUAAAUCCUUGUUUAGGGUGCUGAGGGGAGGGAGG
Molecule: long non-coding RNA, 2827 nt
Filed under: Junco hyemalis (dark-eyed junco)
Lineage: Eukaryota; Metazoa; Chordata; Aves; Passeriformes; Passerellidae
Description: lncRNA (ENSJHYG00000010066.1)
Source: RNAcentral